GGCACGUGGCAGUAAGUAUGGUUUCCGUGAGUAGCAUCCAGAAAAGCCAUGAACAAUGCAUUUAACAUAUGCUGGAAAGAGUUAUCAACCGUGGUGUAUUUAGUAAAGGUAGGGGGUGCUUCCAGCAGCUGUGGUCUUCAUUUGGACAAUUUUACCCCUUCUCCAUGUGUUGAUUUAGUCCACAAGUGAUGGGUCCAUGAUGGGCUUGGACCGAAGUCAUCA
Molecule: long non-coding RNA, 222 nt
Filed under: Vigna radiata
Lineage: Eukaryota; Viridiplantae; Streptophyta; Magnoliopsida; Fabales; Fabaceae
Description: long non-coding RNA (VRAD_LNC018599)
Source: RNAcentral